RNAcentral lists this small RNA (106 nucleotides) under Lagierella massiliensis. RNAcentral describes it as "Streptococcus sRNA SpR18". The stretch from base 15 to 98 matches the Rfam family "Streptococcus sRNA SpR18", at positions 43 to 122 of the family's 132-position model. The record is from RNAcentral. Lineage: Bacteria; Bacillati; Bacillota; Tissierellia; Tissierellales; Peptoniphilaceae.
AAAAUAUUUAAUUUUUGGCUGCAUUGAUUAUCCUUAUAAAAUAAAUUGAAUAAUAGUUCCAAGUGGUUUACAUUUGGACAAAAAAUUAGACCGUAGUUAAAAGCUG